AAACACUUUCUGCAUGAUGCUGUUUACUUUCAAUAAUUUGAAAGCUAUCUCUAACCCUUGUGAGUCAGAAGAACAGACUGAAUCAGAAAUGCAAUAACUUUGAUCACAUAACAGCACAAUGAUCAUAUGUUAAGGCAUCACCCAGAUCACCCAGUCUUCUUAGAGAUUCUUUCUGACAUUGCUCCAAGAUCAUGUCCCAAAUUCAGAAAGAACACUUGGAAAUGAUUUGUGUCUGUCACGUAAGAGAUACCUAUUUGGUCUCCAGCCUGUUUGGUACCUGGAUUUCUGAAGUGAAGGAGAUGGCAACCCACUCCAGUGUUCUUGCCUGGAGAAUCCCAGGGACGGGGGAGCCUGGUGGGCUUCCGUCUAUGGGGUCGCACAGAGUCAGAAACGACUGAAGCGACUUAGCAGCAGCAGCAGCAGCAGCAGGGGGAGCUGCAGGCCUGAGCCAAGCAGGAGUCACAAACAGCAGGACCUGGAGCAUAUGCAAAAAUCUAAAAAAUGUAAGCAUUUCCUUUUAUAACCUGUAGUUUUGACAAUGAUGUUGAUUUUUAAUCAGGUUUUUUUUUUCAGUUUAUGGUUUUAUACUGCCACCUAAAUUGGGAAAAUAAUUUAUAUUGUUU
This is a long non-coding RNA of Bos taurus (domestic cattle), 623 nucleotides long. NCBI's taxonomy places the organism in Eukaryota, Metazoa, Chordata, Mammalia, Artiodactyla, Bovidae. The record is from Ensembl.